Molecule: transfer RNA, 69 nt
Filed under: Trichonotus filamentosus
Lineage: Eukaryota; Metazoa; Chordata; Actinopteri; Gobiiformes; Trichonotidae
Description: tRNA-Cys
Source: RNAcentral
AGUCUCGGGGUGGUGCACCCACGUUUGAUUGCAAAUCUUAAGAGGCAGGUUAGAGUCCUGCCGAGGCUU